RNAcentral lists this transfer RNA (85 nucleotides) under Coriobacteriales bacterium. RNAcentral's name for it is "tRNA-Tyr". It matches the Rfam family "tRNA". Rfam says of the family: Transfer RNA (tRNA) molecules are approximately 80 nucleotides in length. Their secondary structure includes four short double-helical elements and three loops (D, anti-codon, and T loops). The record is from RNAcentral. Lineage: Bacteria; Bacillati; Actinomycetota; Coriobacteriia; Coriobacteriales.
GGGGGUGUGCCCGAGUGGUUAAAGGGGACGGGCUGUAAACCCGUUAGCUAUGCUUACUAAGGUUCGAAUCCUUACGCCCCCACCA